RNAcentral lists this ribosomal RNA (403 nucleotides) under uncultured Eubacteriales bacterium. RNAcentral's name for it is "uncultured Clostridiales bacterium partial 16S ribosomal RNA". It matches the Rfam family "Bacterial small subunit ribosomal RNA", at positions 355 to 774 of the family's 1533-position model. The record is from RNAcentral. Lineage: Bacteria; Bacillati; Bacillota; Clostridia; Eubacteriales.
UGGGGAAUAUUGCACAAUGGGGGAAACCCUGAUGCAGCGACGCCGCGUGGAGGAAGAAGGCCUUCGGGUUGUAAACUCCUGUCGACAGGGAAGAGAGAGGACAGUACCUGUGGAGGAAGCCACGGCUAACUACGUGCCAGCAGCCGCGGUAAUACGUAGGUGGCGAGCGUUGUCCGGAAUUACUGGGUGUAAAGGGCGCGUAGGCGGGUGAUUAAGUCAGUUGUGAAAUACCGAAGCUCAACUUCGGGGCUGCAACUGAAACUGGUUAUCUUGAGUGCAGGAGAGGUAAGUGGAAUUCCUAGUGUAGCAGUGAAAUGCGUAGAUAUUAGGAGGAACACCAGUGGCGAAGGCGGCUUACUGGACUGUAACUGACGCUGAGGCGCGAAAGCGUGGGGAGCAAACA